GACGAACGCUGGCGGCGUGCUUAACACAUGCAAGUCGAACGAUGAUGCCCAGCUUGCUGGGUGGAUUAGUGGCGAACGGGUGAGUAACACGUGAGUAACCUGCCCCUGACUCUGGGAUAAGCGUUGGAAACGACGUCUAAUACUGGAUAUGAUCACUGGCCGCAUGGUCUGGUGGUGGAAAGAUUUUUUGGUUGGGGAUGGACUCGCGGCCUAUCAGCUUGUUGGUGAGGUAAUGGCUCACCAAGGCGACGACGGGUAGCCGGCCUGAGAGGGUGACCGGGCACACUGGGACUGAGACACGGCCCAGACUCCUACGGGAGGCAGCAGUGGGGAAUAUUGCACAAUGGGCGAAAGCCUGAUGCAGCAACGCCGCGUGAGGGAUGACGGCCUUCGGGUUGUAAACCUCUUUUAGUAGGGAAGAAGCGAAAGUGACGGUACCUGCAGAAAAAGCACCGGCUAACUACGUGCCAGCCGCCGCUGUAA
RNAcentral lists this ribosomal RNA (483 nucleotides) under uncultured bacterium. Its description in RNAcentral is "partial 16S ribosomal RNA". It matches the Rfam family "Bacterial small subunit ribosomal RNA", at positions 28 to 523 of the family's 1533-position model. The record is from RNAcentral.